This 532-nucleotide ribosomal RNA is filed under the name uncultured bacterium. RNAcentral's name for it is "bacterial SSU rRNA". It matches the Rfam family "Bacterial small subunit ribosomal RNA", at positions 8 to 524 of the family's 1533-position model. The record is from RNAcentral.
AGAGUUUGAUCCUGGCUCAGGACGAACGCUGGCGGCGUGCCUAAUACAUGCAAGUAGAACGCUGAAGGAGGAGCUUGCUCUUCUGGAUGAGUUGCGAACGGGUGAGUAACGCGUAGGUAACCUGCCUGGUAGCGGGGGAUAACUAUUGGAAACGAUAGCUAAUACCGCAUAACAUUGACUAUUGCAUGAUAGUCAAUUGAAAAGGUGCAAUGCACCACUACCAGAUGGACCUGCGUUGUAUUAGCUAGUUGGUGGGGUAACGGCUCACCAAGGCGACGAUACAUAGCCGACCUGAGAGGGUGAUCGGCCACACUGGGACUGAGACACGGCCCAGACUCCUACGGGAGGCAGCAGUAGGGAAUCUUCGGCAAUGGACGGAAGUCUGACCGAGCAACGCCGCGUGAGUGAAGAAGGUUUUCGGAUCGUAAAGCUCUGUUGUAAGAGAAGAACGAGUGUGAGAGUGGAAAGUUCACACUGUGACGGUAUCUUACCAGAAAGGGACGGCUAACUACGUGCCAGCAGCCGCGGUAAU